This 189-nucleotide ribosomal RNA is filed under the name Triticum aestivum (bread wheat). Its description in RNAcentral is "partial small subunit ribosomal RNA". Lineage: Eukaryota; Viridiplantae; Streptophyta; Magnoliopsida; Poales; Poaceae. The record is from RNAcentral.
AUGUCGCUGGCGGGUCGACGCGUUCUGGUGCGGGCGGUGCUCUCUGCGCUGCCAACCUUCGCCAUGACCGUGCUCAAGGUGCCAAAGAAGAUCCUCAAGGAGAUUGACAAGGCACGGCGUCGGUUCUUAUGGGUCCAAGAUGAGGCACUGACGGGCGGGAAGUGCAAACUGGCGUGGAAGCAGGUGUGC